RNAcentral lists this transfer RNA (71 nucleotides) under Monognathus jesperseni. RNAcentral's name for it is "tRNA-Val". It matches the Rfam family "tRNA". Rfam says of the family: Transfer RNA (tRNA) molecules are approximately 80 nucleotides in length. Their secondary structure includes four short double-helical elements and three loops (D, anti-codon, and T loops). The record is from RNAcentral. Lineage: Eukaryota; Metazoa; Chordata; Actinopteri; Anguilliformes; Monognathidae.
UAGGACGUAGCUUAAAAGUAAAGCCUCUCUUUUACACUGAGAAAAUACCUGUGCAAAUCAAGUCGCCCUAA